AUGGGAGGGGCUUGGGUACAAUUCCGAAUACGCUAUUAUAUGUUUGCGCUCGUUUUUGUUGUUUUUGUUGUGGAAACCGUCUUUCUAUACCCUUGGGCAAUGAGUUUCGACGUAUUGGGUGUAUCCGUUUUUAUCGAAGCUUUGAUUUUCGUGCUUAUCUUAGUUGUUGGUUUAGUUUAUGCAUGGCGAAAAGGAGCCUUGGAAUGGUCUUAA
This 213-nucleotide ribosomal RNA is filed under the name Triticum aestivum (bread wheat). RNAcentral describes it as "partial small subunit ribosomal RNA". The record is from RNAcentral. Lineage: Eukaryota; Viridiplantae; Streptophyta; Magnoliopsida; Poales; Poaceae.